This is a long non-coding RNA of Astatotilapia calliptera (eastern happy), 1981 nucleotides long. The record is from Ensembl. Lineage: Eukaryota; Metazoa; Chordata; Actinopteri; Cichliformes; Cichlidae.
ACCACACCUCCCUCCCUCCCCUCUCACUCUCUCUCUCCCUGCUCUCUCUCCGUCUGUUUGCCUCUGCCGCUGAAUGAAAAUACGCACAGAUGCGUAAAGGGGCGGUCAAACUCCACAUAUCCACCGGUGGCAGCGGCAGCAUCACUGACCCUAUCUCUUUGAGGACGAGAGGACGGGAGCAGGGAACAACUAUUCUUUUGGACAAUUCUUCAGGCCCUCGAAGAGAAGCCCAAGCGCGACCCCGGAGCCCACCUGUUUGAAGCCGGACACUGUUUGCUCGAAUCACAGCUCAGAAGACGCCACAGCAGCAGCAGCAGCCCGAGAGGACACAGGGAACGCGGGUACUGAGUCAGAAGAAGAACCUGCAGGGUCCCGGCUCGGAUGCACGGAUGCUCGCUUCUUCAUCUUCUUCUACCCCCCCACCUUCCCCUUUCUCCUCCUCCUCCUCCUCCCUCAAGCUGCUGUUGCUCGUCUGUGGCGAUCCAGAAAUAGCAGCAGCUUGUCUGGAGGUUGUAUGAGAAAGCGUCUGAGAUGUGGGGUUUAUUUGCGGUAGUUAUGUUUUCAGCUAAGAAUUGCUUGUUUUGUGAAUUUGUGUUUGUGUGUGUGUCUCUCCCUCUUGUCGCCUCUAUUUUGAGUUUCCAGCUUUGAUACCACUUAGUGUGCUGGAGUCGUACUAAUUAGCGGCCUGAUUGACAGCUCGGUAAUUGGAUUUAUUUCAUAUCCGCUCCUUGAAGUUGCGAAGCCUCUUAAGGCACGAGAGGAAUGGUUUCUGGGGCUUUAUUUCUUUAGAAAUCAAUAAUAACAUACCUACUCCAGACUUGUAGGGAUUUUUUUAAGAGGGAGAAGGAGGGAUUCUAAUUUUAUUACAGUUUCUUGCCAAAUUCUCAAUCCUUUUGCUAAAUCCUUCCUGGGGCUUAGGAGGAUAUAUCAGACAGCAGAUAUUUCAGCAUUAAAACACAAACUCCACUGUAAAAAUAUGUCUGUUACUGAGACAGAUCUCAGUCUUACAUGUGCUAGCAGACAUUUGUUUAUGGGGAUAAUCCAGAAAUGACCAUAUGUGGUAGAAAAAGUGGGGGAUUCAAAAACUAUCAAGUAAUACAUUGUGUUAAGUGGACUUAAAAAGUACCAAGCUGCUUCAAAACCAAAAGUGUCCAAGCGGACAACAGGUGCUCAAUGGAAGAAAAUCUGCCCCCUUUAUAACUUACUCAAAAAAAAAAUCCACAUGUAAGAAGCAGCACAGAUUAGAGCGUGUGAAGAGAGAUCAUAUGGAGAACGUAUGCUCCAAUUACAUAACACCAAACGACCAAAAUCUAUUAGCAGGUGAUGUCGAUUUUUAUGUUUUUAAACCUAUAUAAGUUAACAAGAAGGUAACUGCCUCAUUUAAUCAAAGAAAAAAUUUCAAAUGAACAUGCAUUGUAAGAAUUUUCAAACACUUUCCUGUACUUGUGUUGCAAAUUCACAUGAAUUGCCUUUGGGAAAGCUUUAAGGGGUGAAACGGAUGUCCUUGUAAUAUAUACAUAUAUAUGGAUACAUACAGGGUAAGGUAAAGCAAAGACCCCGUGUGGUUACUCAGAAUCCAAAAAGAAGGUCUUUGCUUUCGAACAUGGCGUUUACUACUACUACUACUGUUGUUAUAAAAAUCUUGUACACCAUACACCGGGACAGCUCGCUCUGAUCAUCAUCAAUACAGAUCCAGCUGCCGUGGAGACAACACCGUGGGCAUAAAAUAGCCCGUGUCCUUGCAUUGUGGAUGUCAGACCUGUUGCCACACCUCACCACCACUUGCCUUUGACGAGGCUUCAUGUACUCCCCAUCUGACUUGCAGGCUGUUUUCUGAUUAGUCUCGGUGUGAUCUUCAGCAUACCUGGAGUGCCGUGCAGAGUCAUCUCCUAUAAGCUCGUUUUUCUCUCUUGGUUUCUGUGUCCUUCACCUGCUCUUAUCCUUUUUCGAGUUUUUCUCGCUCAAGGGGGUUUCAAUUGAA